GUCGUGCAAUUCGAUAUAAUCUGAAAUUAUUUAUAUUAUUGUUUUUAUUUAUUUAUAUGUAUUUUAGAAUAAUCAAUUUAUUUGUUUUUGUAUUUGUUUUGGAUUUAAUUUAUUAAAUUAUAUUAUAUUUAUACUGUAGAGGUAAUAUUUAUUAAUUUUUAUAAGUAUAUUUUGUUUAUAGUACCUUGUGUAUCAGGGUAUAUUAAAUUUUAUUAUAUAUUUUUUAUUUCCCGAUUUUGAAGGAUUUAAUUUAUUAUUUUAUUUAUUGUUUUAUAAUUAUUAAUAAUAAUAAGUUGGUAAUGAGAUGUUAUUCGUCUUUAACUAUAUCUGGUUUUCUGAGAAAUGAAUUUAAUUCAUAUAUUUUUAAUGUAAUUUUCUUUAUUUUUAGUAAUUAUUAUAUUGAUAUUAAUAUUAAAGGAGAUAAGUUCUUUAAUUUAUUUUUAUAAAUUUGGUUAGGAGUUAUUUUUGUUGGUUUUAUAAUAACUAUCAUUUUAAGUUUGUUAAAAUUUUAUUUUUUAAGUAGUUUUAUUUAUAUUAUUUUUAAAUUUUUAUUGGAAUUAUUUAUUUAAUAAAUAAUUAAUUUAUAUUAAUGAUGUAAUUAGUAAAUUUUAUUUUAUUUGUAAUUUUAUUAUUGUUAUUUUUUAAAAAGGAAUUAGGCAAAUAAAUGUUCUCGCAUGUUUAUCAAAAACAUCUUUUCUUGUAAAUAUUUAUGAAGUAUAACCUGCCCACUGAAUAUUUUAAAGGGCCGCGGUAUUUUGACCGUGCAAAGGUAGCAUAAUCAUUAGUCUUUUAAUUGGAGACUGGAAUGAAUGGUUGGACGAGGGACAAACUGUUUCUUUUUAAUUUUAUUGAAUUUAAAUUUUAAGUAAAAAUACUUAAAUUUUUUUAUGGGACGAGAAGACCCUAUAGAGUUUUAUAUUUUUAUAAUUAUUUGUUUGAUUAAUGAUUAUUUAUAGAAUAUUUUGUUGGGGAGACAGGAAGAAAUAAAUAAACUCUUUCUUUUAUUUGUAUAUUAAUGUAUAUAUUAUAAUGAUCCAAGAUUGUUGAUUAUAAGACUAAAUUACCUUAGGGAUAACAGCGUAAUCUUUUUGGAGAGUUCAUAUCGAUAAAAGGGUUUGCGACCUCGAUGUUGGAUUAAGAUAAAAAUUGGGGGUAGUAUUUCAAUAUUUUAGGUCUGUUCGACCUUUAAAAUCUUACAUGAUCUGAGUUCAGACCGGCGUGAGCCAGGUUGGUUUCUAUCUAUAAUUAAUUUAUAUAUCUUAGUACGAGAGGACCAGAUAUUGGAAAUAAUUUUAUUUAUUUUUGAAUAUUAUUAAUAAUUGAAACUAUUUUGGCAGAUAAGUGCAAUGGAUUUAGAAUCUUUAUAUAUAGAUUU
Molecule: ribosomal RNA, 1375 nt
Filed under: Eurycotis sp. B074
Lineage: Eukaryota; Metazoa; Arthropoda; Insecta; Blattodea; Blattidae
Description: 16S ribosomal RNA
Rfam family: Archaeal large subunit ribosomal RNA (bases 886-1245)
Source: RNAcentral